RNAcentral lists this ribosomal RNA (1510 nucleotides) under uncultured bacterium. RNAcentral's name for it is "bacterial SSU rRNA". It matches the Rfam family "Bacterial small subunit ribosomal RNA". The record is from RNAcentral.
AGAGUUUGAUCCUGGCUCAGGAUGAACGCUGGCGGCGUGCCUAAUACAUGCAAGUCGAGCGAACAGAUAAGGAGCUUGCUCCUUUGACGUUAGCGGCGGACGGGUGAGUAACACGUGGAUAACCUACCUAUAAGACUGGGAUAACUUCGGGAAACCGGAGCUAAUACCGGAUAACAUAUUGAACCGCAUGGUUCAAUAGUGAAAGGCGGCUUUGCUGUCACUUAUAGAUGGAUCCGCGCCGUAUUAGCUAGUUGGUAAGGUAACGGCUUACCAAGGCAACGAUACGUAGCCGACCUGAGAGGGUGAUCGGCCACACUGGAACUGAGACACGGUCCAGACUCCUACGGGAGGCAGCAGUAGGGAAUCUUCCGCAAUGGGCGAAAGCCUGACGGAGCAACGCCGCGUGAGUGAUGAAGGUCUUCGGAUCGUAAAACUCUGUUAUUAGGGAAGAACGAAUGUGUAAGUAACUAUGCACGUCUUGACGGUACCUAAUCAGAAAGCCACGGCUAACUACGUGCCAGCAGCCGCGGUAAUACGUAGGUGGCAAGCGUUAUCCGGAAUUAUUGGGCGUAAAGCGCGCGUAGGCGGUUUUUUAAGUCUGAUGUGAAAGCCCACGGCUCAACCGUGGAGGGUCAUUGGAAACUGGAAAACUUGAGUGCAGAANAGGAAAGUGGAAUUCCAUGUGUANCGGUGAAAUGCGCANAGAUAUGGAGGAACACCAGUGGCGAAGGCGACUUUCUGGUCUGUAACUGACGCUGAUGUGCGAAAGCGUGGGGAUCAAACAGGAUUAGAUACCCUGGUAGUCCACGCCGUAAACGAUGAGUGCUAAGUGUUAGGGGGUUUCCGCCCCUUAGUGCUGCAGCUAACGCAUUAAGCACUCCGCCUGGGGAGUACGACCGCAAGGUUGAAACUCAAAGGAAUUGACGGGGACCCGCACAAGCGGUGGAGCAUGUGGUUUAAUUCGAAGCAACGCGAAGAACCUUACCUAGACUUGACAUCUUCUGCAUUACCCUUAAUCGGGGAAGUUCCUUCGGGGACAGAAUGACAGGUGGUGCAUGGUUGUCGUCAGCUCGUGUCGUGAGAUGUUGGGUUAAGUCCCGCAACGAGCGCAACCCUUAUUGUUAGUUGCUACCAUUUAGUUGAGCACUCUAGCGAGACUGCCCGGGUUAACCGGGAGGAAGGUGGGGAUGACGUCAAAUCAUCAUGCCCCUUAUGUCUAGGGCUACACACGUGCUACAAUGGCCGGUACAGAAAGACGCGAUACCGCGAGGUGGAGCAAAACUUUAAAACCGGUCUCAGUUCGGAUUGUAGGCUGAAACUCGUCUACAUGAAGCUGGAGUUACUAGUAAUCGCGAAUCAGCAUGUCGCGGUGAAUACGUUCCCGGGCCUUGUACACACCGCCCGUCACACCAUGAGAGUUGGCAAUACCCAAAGUUCGUGAGCUAACCGCAAGGAGGCAGCGACCUAAGGUAGGGUCAGCGAUUGGGGUGAAGUCGUAACAAGGUAACCA